RNAcentral lists this ribosomal RNA (301 nucleotides) under uncultured bacterium. RNAcentral's name for it is "partial 16S ribosomal RNA". It matches the Rfam family "Bacterial small subunit ribosomal RNA", at positions 509 to 807 of the family's 1533-position model. The record is from RNAcentral.
CAGUCGCCGCGGGAAUACGAAGGGUGCAAGCGUUACUCGGAAUUACUGGGCGUAAAGCGUGUGUAGGUGGUUGUUUAAGUCUGUCGUGAAAGCCCUGGGCUCAACCUGGGAAUUGCGAUGGAUACUGGGCGACUAGAGUGCGGUAGAGGAUAGUGGAAUUUCCGGUGUAGCAGUGAAAUGCGUAGAGAUCGGAAGGAACAUCUGUGGCGAAGGCGACUAUCUGGGCCAACACUGACACUGAGACACGAAAGCGUGGGGAGCAAACAGGAUUAGAUACCCGCGUAGUCCCUGUCUCUUAUAC